This is a long non-coding RNA of Mesocricetus auratus (golden hamster), 2142 nucleotides long. RefSeq lists it as uncharacterized. NCBI's taxonomy places the organism in Eukaryota, Metazoa, Chordata, Mammalia, Rodentia, Cricetidae. The transcript has 4 exons. The record is from RefSeq and is a predicted model, not a curated record.
CUCCACUCCUAGAAAUACCAGGUUUGAACCAAGGGCCUCACACAUGCUCAGAAAGCAGUUUAUCCGAGCUUCCCGUAGCCCCCAGCUCUACACUGGCCCCUGUGCUGAUGCCCAGGACUGUGUCGCUCAGCGCUCAGAUCUUGCCAGGGUAGGGCUGUUCCAGGGGCAAGGAGGCCUGCAUUUGCUACAGCAUGCUCCCACCCCCACCCCCGGCCAGUAAUUAAUGUGUCCUGUUCCCCAAGCCAAGUGCUGGGGCGCUCAGUCUUGAGCCUCCCGCAGGCCUGGAAGGAGGACCCUGCGGACUGUCUGCCUGUUGCUGGCGGUUGUGGGCGGCAACUCUGGACCAGCACCCAAGCAAAGGUGGAAAGGGGGGCUGUGCACCAUUCGCUGCUGUGAAGGGAACAGCCCAGGGACUGGGAGCUGCCCAGUUGCCUUUGGGAAGCUUCCAUUUGCUGGGGAGAGUGGUCACCAGUUUCUGUAGAGACCAGGUCACGUGAUGGGGUUCUGAGGAAGAGACAGUUGCUUGCCAGGAGUGCACGAGGAGCUGACUGGGGACACAGAGAAGGACUGCCAAGCACAUACUGUCUUCUCCUGCACUGAAAGCUGUCAUCAGUCAGGGGACCAGAUGGAAAGAUGAGGUCUGGGGUUUAUGAAUAGAGGACAGGAAAGUUUCUGACCUUCAGUACCCGAUGCUUCUGGAACUCCUUCUAAGCCGUUACGAGGUGCACCCGUGGCUUGGAGAGUGACGAUGGCCUUGCUGAACCAGGCAGGCCUGUUGUUUUAUGGACACUGUCUAAUGUUGCAGCAGCCAGUGUUUGCUUCUCUCAGACAAUGCAUAGCCAUCCUGACACUGCUUGCCUGUGUUGCUGUCAGAGUUGCCUUUCUGGUGACUUUAAACACACUGUAAUGAAUGUCUAAGGAACAAAGCAGUAGUUACUUUGAGAGGAGAGACUCACUGUAAACACAGCCUCAGUGUCCCCAGGAGAACAUGACUGGUAAGAUAUGAGGUCUUGUCAAGAAAUCGCACUUUUAAAAGCCAUGCCAGUGAUCUUGGGUACUGGCCACUUUUUCGGUGCCUUUCUGGUCCCUGGAGAAUUCUAAUGUGAUAGAUGGGGCUCUUGUGUUGGAGAUGAGGCAGGGUUAGCUUCUGGGUAGAGUAGCAAGGCCCAGAACUGGCGGUGAAGUCAACUCAUAGGCCAGGGCCUUCUGCUGGUCAGUGUGAAGCAGCCCAUCCUUUGUCCUCAGUGGAGACUCCCUUCCUCUCUCCCACUUUUCUCAAAGUCCUCACUGACAAAAUGGGGCAAAAGGGAAGAUAACAAAAUGAGCUACAGGUGUGUAGUGUGCGUUGGAUUAGUGUUCUCAUGUGUCAUCUGGGGAAAGGCCCUGGAAGACAUGAACCUUGACAUUGAAGGGAUUGCUUACUGUUUAUUAAUUACAAAACUGGAGUGCAAAUAAAGGAUAAGAACCUGAGACAGUUACCAGGGCAGUGAUGCACCCACCACAUCACCUUCUGGUUCCCAAGAAGGACCGGAUAACCUCCCAGCCCUACCUACUCAACUUAGGGCCACUCUUUCCCUCAUCCUGGGUCCUCCAAGGACUUGUUGAUCCACUCUGACCAGCUGAAUGUGAAAUCUGCCCCUCAAACCAAAUGCCUGAUUCAAUUGGAUAAUGGACCAAGACAAUCACAGAAUUCCUGUAACAUGCCAUCUCUUUUAAAGACAGGUGUUUUCAGCAUUUCCCCAAAGUCUCAAUGAUGCUGUGUCUUCAACAGGAUGACCUAAGUGAAGCACUAGGGGCUACUCAGAGCAUCAGACCCUUCAACUCCCUUUCAAAUGCCAUCAUAGAGUAGGAACAAACUGCAACAUGCCAUUUUCAUUGCAAAACUGGACAUCUUGAUCUUAAGUGAGGGACAUUAGGCCAUGGGUAGCUUGACUACUUGCAAGUAAUAGCCCUGGUUUCAUUCUUGUUCUCAAUAGGUAUCCUGUCUCCUGAGAGAACUUGCAGUGGAAUGCUACUUUUCCCACUUUUUACAUCCUUCGGGGUCCUGUAUUCACACUACACACAGAUCUCUGACCAUUAUGAGUUGAGUGGAUGAGCUGGAACUUAAACAAUGGCUUUCAGAAGCAUAAAUAUCCUUGAAAG